CUUUAACACUUUCAAGGUCCUUCUCCAGCCAUAGACCUGGACCAAAGCUGGAGUUGAGAAGACCUCUCCUUCACCCCACGUAGUUUCUUCUCAGAAGUUUUAGCCAAAUGUCCUGUUUGUUCCAACCUUUCAAAUGAAUCUGGUUUUAACUAGCUUAGCAAAGUUAUAUGUGACCUCUGAGAAACAGCUGAGUUCCCAGACUAGCCUGGCAAAUCUUGGACAUAAUCCUUGUGCAGCUUCUUCCCACUUAGCUUCAUCAUCCUGCAAAAUUCCAUCGACUUUAAUAUUUCACCUCAUCACUAUCCUCUUCCUCUCUGAUUAGAAAGUGGGGUCAUGAACCCUAAAUCUUCAUUUAAGGAGAGACUCCAGCUUAGAUAUCUCCUCCUCUCUGGCCUGGCUGCACUACUUUGGGACUUCUCUGAGUGACUUCUCCACCCUAUCCUCCUUGUCAGACUUGGUCCAGUUCCCUGGAAAUAGUCACUGGUACCAGGCCAAGUCAGUGCUGUUGCCGUGUCCCCCUCACCGGAUUUCACCGUUGUGGGAAAAAGACCAUCUGUCCCAGGUUGAGCAAAUGUCCUAUCUUGAACACCAGGUCAGAAUCACCCCCAUAUCCCCACCACAUUCUUAUUAUUAUCAGAAUGAACUUGGAUCCUCGCCAUGGCUCAAACAUCUAGCCACAACUACACAACUGUCUCAAUCUUUUCCCAGGGCAAAGGCUGUGCCUUUACCUCAUCUUCAUCACCACGAUAUGGCUAAAGUCUCCCCAAGUAGCAAAUACCAGAAAGUCACCUCAGUCUUGGCCUUACAUAAUAGGCAUGACAUUGAGGCCAAAGUUGCCUUGAAAUCCUUCCAACAGGAAGCAACUCCUUCAAGCUCUGACCACCUUCCCAAGAUUUUCCCAAGCUGUGAGAAUUCAACUGAUAAUCUACUGUCUGUCAACCAAUCACUCUCAUCUCCAUCAUUCUCCGACAAUAAAGCUGAGUUUUCCCCAUUCCUCAGCCAUGGGUCCACGACAGAAAAAGGAAUAUAUUCUGACUUCCAGGGCAAGGACAAGCUAUCUGUUAUCUCAAUGAGCUCUGGUAACCAAACUAAAGUUGCAAGGAGGCUCCAAAGCCAAGUCAGGGCUACAACUGCUACUACAUUAGGAAAUUUAGAUUUGAGACAUACAGCCUCUAUUACCUCAUCAUCACUUUGUUUUAACCACUGGUCCAGGCCAACAGCAUCAAAAACAUCAGAAGUAGACCACUGGGUCCAGGCAAAAGCUUCCAAAAUGUCAUAUCCUGACCUCCACCUCAGGGACACAGUGUCACUAUUAAGAUGUAUUGACCAUCACUCCAGGCCCUUGACUGACUAUUCAUUACACCUGAACCAGAAAACUAGAGCAACCACUACAAACUCAUCCUGCCCCAAACGUAUUAAAGCCAAAGCUUUGCCAUCACCAGCUCCAAACCAUCGGGCCAGGACAAGAGCUACCUCAUCACAAGGUGUUAAAUCAUGGGACAAGGGAUCAGCUAAUCACUGGGUCACAGCUACCUCUGUGCCCUUCCCAUUACACCACCAAAUGUAUGACGUUCCAAUCAAACAGGCAUCAUCCCAAUGCACUCUUCAUCAUCAGGCCACUUGUCCACCCACUCCUGAAUACUACCAGGCCAAGUACGUGACAGACUCCAAUACCCACAUCUUGCUUCAGAAAGAAAAAAACCGUACAGAAGUCAUGCCACAAGAUCUGGACUACCAGUUCACAAUGCUAACAGGCCAGGUAUACUGGUCAACAUCCUCAGUGAACAUGGAAUACAAUGGUACUGCUUCAUUUGACUAUGACCAGAGUACCACAACUCCAUUCAGUCCUAGAUACCAGACUGAGAGUGAACCAAACCCCCAACCCCAGAUCACACUUCAAAUGGAAAGAAAGAAUGAUUGCCAAAGAAUAUCAGUAAGAUCAGACUAUGAGGUGACACAUUUCAUGGACCAAGAUCAAUGGGCAACACCUUCACAGGGUGUAAGAAACCCUCAGAACAGAACUGUCUCUGGUCCUGAACAUCAGACCAUAUCUCUAUCCAGCAAUGACCACCAGGCUGAGGAUAUAGCAGUAGACUCUAAUACCCAGGUCAUAUUCCAACAAGAACUAGAUAAAAGGGAAACAUAUUGGAUGAAAGAUCAAAAGUCUUCACAACCAUCCAGUGUAGACCACCAGGUCCAGGAGAUCCCAGGAGAUCCCAGAGACCCACAAACAUUCCAACAAGAACUAGAAAAGUGGAAAAUACAAGACCCUAAGUUGACACCUUCAUCCAGCAAUGGUCACCAGGCUGAGACUAUACCAGCAGACCAUAAAACCCAGGUCAUAUUUCAUCAAGAACUAGAUGAGUGGGAAACAAUUUGGAAAAAAGGACAAAACAAUCAGUCCACAUCUCCACCAAACAAUGACCCACAAAUUCAGAAUAUGCCAGAAGAUGCCAGAGUACAUAUUAUACUCAAGGGAGAACCAUGUGAUCAGGAUAAAUUUUAUAAAAGACUAGACCACCAACCCAUACUUUCACCUGGAAAUGACCAUCAAAUUCAGCAUAUUCCAGCAGAUCACAAUGCACAGGUAAUAUUCCAUCAAGAAGAGGAUAAACAUGAAACAUUUUGGACACAAGGACAAAACCAUCAAUCCACAUCUCCACUAAGCAAUGACUACCAAGCCCAGGCUACUCCAGAAGACCCUAGUGCACAUAUUACACUCAAACAAGAACCAGAGAAUUUGGACACAUUUUGGACAAAAGGACUAGAUCAGCAGCCUACGUCUUCACCUGGCAAUAAACGGGAGGCUAAAGAUAAACCAGACUUCAAUUCUAAGACUACACUUCAACAAAAAAUAGAAGAAUGGAAAACACUUUGGCCAGGAGAACCAGACAAGCAGGGCACAAUUCUAACAAACGAGGGUUAUUUGGCAACUUCCACAUUAGACCUAAAAUACCAAGAUGAAACUUCACCUGAAACUAACCACAUCUCCACAUCUCCACCCAACUGUGGUGAACAGGCUUCAGAUGUAGCAGAAUUUAGCAUCCAGGCCACACUCCAACAAAAAAUAAGCAAAAGGGAAACAUUUUGGCCAACAGAACCAGACAAACAGGCCACAACUGUAACAGACCAGGAUUACUGGGCCACAUCCCCAUGGGACAUAAAACAUCAAGGCAGAAUUUCACCUGACCUUCAUCAUGGAGUGACACCUCUAAUCACACAUGAAGAUCAGGAUUCAGAUGUACCAGACCUCAGUCCCCAGGUCACACUCCAACAAGACCUAGACAAAAGGGAAAUAUUUUGGCCCAUAGAACUAGAUAAGCAGGCCACAAUUCUCAAAGACAAGGAAUUCUGGGCCACAUCCCCAUGGGACAUAAAACAGCAAGACAGAACUUCACCUGACCUUCAUCAUGGGGACACACCUCUACCUAUAAAUAAAGAUCAGAAUUCAGAUGUAUCAGACCUCAGUGCCCGAGUCACACUCCAGCAAGAACUAGGCAAAAGGGAAACUUUUUGGCAAACAGAACUAGAUAAGCAGGCCACAAUUCUCAAAGACCAGGAUUACUGGAUCACAACCCUAUGGAACAUAAAACACCAAGACAGAACUUCACCUGACCUUAACCAUGUGUCAACAUCUCUACCCACACUUGAAGAUGAGGAUUCAGAUGUAUCAGACCUCAGUGACCAGGUGGUCAUACCCCAACAAGAACUAGGCAAAAGGGAAACAUUUUGGCCAAUAAAACUAGACAAGCAGGCCACAACUCUCAAAGGCCAGGAUUACUGGGUCACAACCCUAUGGGAUGUAAAACAGAAAGACAGAACUUCACCUGACCUUCACCGUGGGGCCACACCUCUAUCCACACAUGAAGAUGAGGAUUCAGAUGUAUCAGACCUCAGUGACCAGGUGGUCACACUACAACAAGAACUAGGCAAAAGGGAAACAUUUUGGCAAACAGAACUAGACAAGCAGGUCACAACUCUUAAAGGCCAGGAUUACUGGGUCACAACCCUAUGGGACAUAAAAGACAAAGAUAGAACUUCACCUGACCUUCACCAUGGGGCUACAUCUCUACCCAUACAUGAAGAUCAGGAUUCAGACGUAUCAGACCUCAGUGACCAGGUCACACUACAACAAGAACUGGGUAAAAGGGGAACAUUUUGGCCAAUAGAACCAAACAAACAGGCCACAACUCUCAAAGACCAGAAUUACUGGGUCACAGCCCUAUGGGACAUAAAAGACAAAGACAGGACUUCACCUGACCUUCCCUUUAGGGCCACACCUCUAUCCAGACACAAGGACCAGGAUUCAGAUAUAUCAGACCUCAGUGCCCAGGUCACACUCCAACAAGAACUGAGCAAAAGGGAAACAUCUUAUCCAACAGAGAUAGAAAAGCAGGCCACAAUUCUAAAAGACAAAGUUUACUGGGCAACACCCACACUGGAUCUAAAACAUGAAGAAAGAACUUCACCUGACCUCCACCAUGGGGCUACAUCUUCACUCAGCUGUGAGGACCAGGAUUCAGGUGCAAUAGACCUCAGUGAGCAGGUCAUACUCCAACAAAAAUUAGGUAAAAAGAAAAUAUCUUGUCCAACAGAAUCAGACAAACAAGUUGCAAGUCUAACAGACCAGGAUUACUGGGCCACAUUCCCGUGGGACAUAAAACAUCAAGACAGAACUUCACUUGACCAUCACCAUGGAGCUACACCUCCACUCAGUCAUGAAGACCAGGAUUCAGAUGCAACAGACCUUAGUUCCCCAAUCAUACUCCAACAAGAACUAAGUAAAAAGGAAAUAUUUUGUCCUACAGAGUUAGACAAGCAGGUCACAAGCCUAACAGACCAGGAUUAUUGGACCACAUUCCCAUGGGACAUAAAACACCAAGACAGAACUUCACUUGGCCAUCACCAUGGAGCUACACCUCCACUCAGUCAUGAAGACCAGGAUUCAGAUGCAACAGACCCUAGUCCCCCAACCACACUCCAACAAGAACUAAGUAAAAAGGAAACAUCUUGUCCCACAGAACUAGACAAGCAAGUCACAAAUGUAACAGACAAGGAUUACUGGGCAACAUCUCCAUGGAAUAUAAAACAUCAAGACAGAAAAUCCCUUGACUUUCACCACAAGGCUAUAACUCUAUCCAGCCAUGGUGACAAAACUUCAAAUAUAUCUGACCUCAGUGCCCAUGCUAUACUCCAACAAGAACAAGGAAAAAGGGAGACAUUCUGGUCAACAGAACUAGACCAACAGGCCACAACUCUAACAGAUAAGGUUUACUGGACAACACCUACAUUGGAUCUAAAUCAUGAAGACAGAAUUUCACUUGACUUUCACCAUGAGGCCACUUAUCCACCCAGAAAUGAGGUCCAGGAUUCAGACUCAGAUGACCUCAGUGCCCAGGCCACACUCCAGCAAGAACUAGGCAAAAAGAAAACUUCUUGUCCUACAGAAGUAGACCAGCAGGCCAUAAAUCUAACAGAUGAGGUUUGCUGGAUAACAUUGCCAUGGGACAUAAAGCACCAAGACAGAACUUUCCCUGAUCCUUAUCAUGAAGUCACAUCUCCACCCAGACAUGAAGACCAGGAUUCAGAUGUGUCAGAACUCAGUACUCAAACCAUAAUUCAACCAGAACUAAAUGAAUGGAAAACAUUUUGGUCCAGAGAAGCAAACCGACAGGUUACAACUCUAAUAGACAAGGUUUACUGGGUAACACCCAUGUUGGAUCCAAAAUACCUGGACAGAACUUCACCUGAUCUUCAUCAUGAGAUCACACCUCCAUCCAGCUAUGAAGAACAGGAUUCAGAUUUCAUAUACCUCAGUGGCGAGGCCACACUCCAACAAGAACUAGGCAAAAGGAAAGCAUCUUCUCCUACAGAGCUAGACCAGCAGGCCAAAACUCUAAAAGAUGAGGUUUCCUGGGCAACAUUGUCAUGGGACAGAACUUCACCUGCCACGCCCCAUGAGCCUACAAGCCCAUCCAGCCAUGAAGAUGAUAGUUCAGCUAUAUCAGACCUCAGUGCUCAGUCCAUACUCCAAGAAGAAUUAGAUAAAUGGAAAACAUCUUGUCCCACAGAACUAGAUCAGCAGGCCAGAAUUCUAAAAGAUGAGGUUUCCUGGGCAACAUCCUCAUGGGGCAUAAAAUACCCAGGUAGAAAUUCACCUGAUAAUCACCUUGAGGCUACACCUUCAUCCAACCAUGAUUAUCAGGAUUCAGAUCUGUCAGACUUCAGUGCUCAGGAAACACUCCAAUUAGAUAUAAAUGAAUGGGAAAAACUUUGGCCAACAGAACUGGAUCAGGAGGGCACAACUCUACCAGACCAGGCUUCCUGGGAAAUCUCCCCAUGGGAUAUAAAACAGCAAGACAGAACUUCACCUGAUACUGACCAUACAACCUCAACAUCAUCUAGCCAUGAAAGGAAGGAUGGGGAUGUACCAGAUCUCAAUGCUGAGGCUAUACCCCAACCAAAACUAGACCAAUGGGAAAUAAUGCCAUCAAUACUAGAUCAAGAGUUAAGAGUUGAUCUCACAAUUCAACACUCCAGGACAAUACCUUCAGUGAGCAUAAUAGAGUCCCAGAAUGUGGUUCUAUCUGAUCCUGAGCACAAAAUCAUACCUCCAUCCAGCAAUGACUACCCAGUUGGGGAUAUAUCCAAGCCAAAUACCAAGAUUACACUCCAACAAGAUCAAGAUGACUGGGAUAUAUUUUGGACAAGACUAGACCAUCAGGACACAGCUUCACUCAACAAUGACUAUCAGAUCCAACAUGUCCCAGGCCCUAAAGCUGACAUAAUUCAAAAAGAACAAGAAGAUUUAGAUAUAUUUUGGACAAGAACAUUAGACUAUCGGGCCAUGACUCCAACAAACAAGGAUUACUGGACUGCAUUUCCUUUACUGAACAUAGAACAUCACAAUAUGAUACAACCUGAUCCUGACCACCAAGUAUCAUGUACAACCAGCCCUGACCAUCAAACUGAAGACACAACAGAUCCCAAUGUCCAGAGUAUAUUUCAAACAAAAAAAGAUUCAUGGGAAACAAUGCCACAGGAAAUAGAACGCAAGACCCUAAUUCUCACAACCCAUGAUCAGGAAGCAAUAUUUCUACUGGGCAAAAAUCACCAGGACACAAAUCUCCCUGGCUCUGACAAGCAAGAUUUCAUUCUAUCCAUCCAUGACACUGAGGAUACUGAUGUACCAGGCCCCAAUACUUUAGUUACAAUACAACCAGAAAAAGGACAAUGGGAAUUGAUGCCCCCUGAAACAGAUCACAUGGCAAUAAUAAGUUUCACAGUUCAUCAGCAGGAAGCAACACCUUCACUAUCUUUAAACCACAAGGACACAAAUCCAUCUAACUCUAUCCAUUGGGCAGCUACUUCACUGAUCAUUUAGUCUGUCAUUAGGCCAGCUUUUCUUAGUUAAAUUGAAUAGACCACUGGGAAACAAUGCCACCAGCCCAGGAUUUCAACAACACAAAACUAUAAGGCAACAACUAUACUGAGCAUUGACAUAAGAAUGCCAAACCUUGACUGACCCCCAAAAUCAUGACAUACUUCUACACAACUCUAAGGAUGCAAAAUCAAAUUCCAAUGCCAAGAUCAUAUUUCAAAGAAAACAAAGCACUGGCCAAGAACAGAUAAUCCGACCAUAGUCCUUAUAGAUCAGGUGUCUGAAACAAUAUUUCUCCUCAAUUUAGACCCCAAGAACACAGUUCUACCUGAACCAGACUCUAAUUCCACCAUGCCUGACCAUUAGACUAUGGAUGCAUCAGGCAGCAAUGCCCAAAUCUCAUUUCAUAUACAAAUCCACUUAAAAGCAGUUCAUAUACCUAUGAAGGUAUAACUCUUAUUAUCCAGGAUCAUGAAAAAACACAUUUAGUGGAUUUAGACAACCAGGUAAAAUUCCACCUUGACUUAGCCACUGAGUAUCAACUGCCCUAGAUAUUGGUUAAAAGACAGUGAAAGUCCAAUCAAUGCCUAAGGGGUCUAGGUUCCACCAUAAUUAGGCCACUAAGAAACUAUACUACUGGCAACAGACAUUCCCACUUCCCAAUUCCCUUGUGCAUUGACCCUGAGGAUACAAGUCUCCCUAAUUCCAGCUGUCAGAUUACAAUUCCCAAGUAGUCCCAACCAAAAGUCAAAAGCUAUUCCAUACUCCCAAACUAAUACCUCCCUCCCUCAGCAAAAAAGUCAGUGACUACAGAUCAAGAGGUCAUACCUCUGUUUAGUCCUGAUCUUCCAGUCACUCUUCUACUCAGUCCUGAAAAUCAGACUCCAUCACUUGGACACAGUUCCAACAGAUAUGAAUGAUCAGGAAACAGUUCUACCAAGACCAGAGUAUAGUAAGUAUAACACUUUCAUCAAGUCCCAGCUGUCAGCCUGAGCAUAAAAUUAAUUCUGAGCAUAAAAGGAGAUCUGACAAUCAAUCUGAGCUCUAACAUUAGAUCCAGAUAAAAUUAUACAAACUCGAUGGCAUUUAAAUUACAUCAAAACAUACAUCACUGAAAGAGAGUCAGUCUCUGCUACAACUGUUCAUGCCAUCUAUCAACAAUCAGGAGAAAAUUGAUGAUGACAUCUCUAUGCAGAUUCUCCUGCUAAGAAUGAGGUAAACCUCUGCUCUACCACCUGAUAAACAUACUGCACAUGAUUAUAUGGUCUGCUUAAUUUGUGCCUCCUGUAUCCUAAAUAGUAGUUCCCAUAUUCAGGGAACAAAUUAUUCUUAUGAGGCAAAAUUGCUAACCAUACCAAAACAUCUGCCUGGCUCUGAAGAGGAGAUGGGUGUGAAAAUUUGUCCUUCAAGUACUGCGCUCAACACUUUUCUUCUUUUUUAAUCUUCAAGCCACCCAUUGUGGUUUGUCCAGGCCUUUAUAUUAUUCACCAGUUUCUAACUCCUUCCCACUCAGGCUCUAUACUCACUAUACCUGCAAGGGCAAAAUGGCUUCAAUUUAUACUUAAUUAUUUCCAGGCAUUGAGGGCCACAUCUAGAAGUCAACAGCCAUUUGCAGGGUAAAUAGCCAUGAAGAGCAAGAGCAAUAGAGAAGAGGGGGCAAGGACAUAUUGGACAUUAAUCAGAUCCCUGCUAAAAGUAUUUCAAAGGUGACCAAGGAGAAAUUAAAUUAAAUAAACAUCAAUUUUAAAAGGAAA
Long non-coding RNA from Sarcophilus harrisii (Tasmanian devil), 9135 nucleotides. The record is from Ensembl. Lineage: Eukaryota; Metazoa; Chordata; Mammalia; Dasyuromorphia; Dasyuridae.